RNAcentral lists this ribosomal RNA (253 nucleotides) under uncultured bacterium. RNAcentral describes it as "partial 16S ribosomal RNA". It matches the Rfam family "Bacterial small subunit ribosomal RNA", at positions 524 to 776 of the family's 1533-position model. The record is from RNAcentral.
GACGAACCGUGCAAACGUUAUUCGGAAUCACUGGGCUUAAAGCGUGCGUAGGCGGCUCAGAAAGUUGGGGGUGAAAUCCCUCGGCCUAACCGAGGAAUUGCGCCCAAAACUACUGGGCUUGAGGGAGUUAGAGGUGAGCGGAACUCACGGUGGAGCGGUGAAAUGCGUUGAUAUCGUGAGGAACACCGGAGGCGAAAGCGGCUCACUGGGGCUUAGCUGACGCUGAGGCACGAAAGCUAGGGGAGCAAACGGG